CCUACGGGAGGCAGCAGUGAGGAAUAUUGGUCAAUGGACGAGAGUCUGAACCAGCGAAGUAGCGUGAAGGAUGACUGCCCUAUGUGUUGUAAACUUCUUUUAUAUGGGAAUAAAAUGUUCCACGUGUGGAAUUUUGUAUGUACCAUAUGAAUAAGGAUCGGCUAACUCCGUGCCAGCAGCCGCGGUAAUACGGAGGAUCCGAGCGUUAUCCGGAUUUAUUGGGUUUAACGGGAGCGUAGGUGGAUUGUUAAGUCAGUUGUGAAAGUUUGCGGCUCAACCGUAAAAUUGCAGUUGAAACUGGCAGUCUGGAGUACAGUAGAGGUGGGCGGAAUUCGUGGUGUAGCGGUGAAAUGCUUAGAUAUCACGAAGAACUCCGAUGGCGAAGGCAGUUCACUGGACUGCAACUGACACUGAGGCUCGAAAGUGUGGGUAGCAAACAGGAUUAGAUACCCUAGUAGUC
This 460-nucleotide ribosomal RNA is filed under the name uncultured bacterium. RNAcentral's name for it is "partial 16S ribosomal RNA". It matches the Rfam family "Bacterial small subunit ribosomal RNA", at positions 338 to 795 of the family's 1533-position model. The record is from RNAcentral.